UAUAUUUGCAGCUCGAAAGAAAGGCUUUCGUGUACAUAACAAUCAUUUACAAUAAUAUUAGAAUG
Molecule: non-coding RNA, 65 nt
Organism: Olleya sp. VCSM12
Lineage: Bacteria; Pseudomonadati; Bacteroidota; Flavobacteriia; Flavobacteriales; Flavobacteriaceae
Source: Rfam